Molecule: transfer RNA, 59 nt
Filed under: Camelus bactrianus (Bactrian camel)
Lineage: Eukaryota; Metazoa; Chordata; Mammalia; Artiodactyla; Camelidae
Also listed under: 2 other names
Rfam family: tRNA
About the family: Transfer RNA (tRNA) molecules are approximately 80 nucleotides in length. Their secondary structure includes four short double-helical elements and three loops (D, anti-codon, and T loops).
Source: Rfam by way of RNAcentral
AUAGCUCAGUGAUAGAGCACAUGCUUAGCAUGCACAAGGUCCUGGGUUCAAUCCCCAGU